UGUUGCUGUACUGCCACGUUUUUGUCUGUUACCAUACCAGAGCAAACAGUAUAAUGGUAUGUGGCCACCUGGAGCUAAAGGUAUUUUAUGGACAUGUACUUAAGAGAGGGGCUUUUGCCUUUCUUUUCUUUAAUUCAGAGUUCAAGAGUAACAUUAAGAGGUUGAAUGGGUAAAUGGGAUAGUUUAAUAGAUUUGACAGCUAUAUUAUAAGUCUUCAGUGAGGUUUACUUAUUUAAAAGUAAAGAAAUCUGGGCUGUUAUAUUACAAAGGUUUUCCUCUCUUCUUUACUCUAUUCGUCCCCACUCUCCUACCUAUAUUCCUCCCACCCUUUAUACGUUCUAGUACUUUUGGCAUGUCUGAUGUCUCACAGCUCUCAUUUGUAUGCUCCCUCCACUCUACUAGAUUAAUAGAACAUAGCAUCGAUCA
Long non-coding RNA from Amphimedon queenslandica, 426 nucleotides. RefSeq lists it as uncharacterized. The transcript is spliced from 3 exons. NCBI's taxonomy places the organism in Eukaryota, Metazoa, Porifera, Demospongiae, Haplosclerida, Niphatidae. The record is from RefSeq and is a predicted model, not a curated record.